This 253-nucleotide ribosomal RNA is filed under the name uncultured bacterium. RNAcentral describes it as "partial 16S ribosomal RNA". It matches the Rfam family "Bacterial small subunit ribosomal RNA", at positions 524 to 776 of the family's 1533-position model. The record is from RNAcentral.
UACGAAGGGUGCAAGCGUUACUCGGAAUUACUGGGCGUAAAGCGUGCGUAGGUGGUGUGUUAAGUCUGUCGGGAAAGCCCCGGGCUCAACCUGGGAAUGGCGAUGGAUACUGGCUCGCUAGAGUGCGGUAGAGGAGAGUGGAAUUCCCGGUGUAGCAGUGAAAUGCGUAGAGAUCGGGAGGAACAUCAGUUGCGAAGGCGGCUCUCUGGACCAGCACUGACACUGAGGCACGAAAGCGUGGGGAGCAAACAGG